This 1114-nucleotide long non-coding RNA is filed under the name Malus domestica (apple). Its description in RNAcentral is "long non-coding RNA (MDOM_LNC016343)". The record is from RNAcentral. Lineage: Eukaryota; Viridiplantae; Streptophyta; Magnoliopsida; Rosales; Rosaceae.
UUUCAUGUUGAAGGAUACAAGAAAUAGGACAUUAUAUUAAUCCAAUAGGAGCAAUGGUCCUCCAACUAAAAAUCCAUGACUAGUAGUCCCUUAACUCAUAAAAACGUGCAGCUAUGGUCCUUUUUGUUAAAUAAGUCACACGCAUAUGAGGCUAAAUAAAGGGGUAAAUGUGGAAAACCAAAUGAAAAAAAAAUUGUAGCAAUGGUCCCUCAAAAUAACCCAAUUGAAGAAAUAGUCCCUCAACUUUAACCCAAUUGGAGCACUGGUCCCUCAACUUUAAUCCAAUUGUAGCAAUGGUCCUUCCAACAUAAGUCAUUUUAAUGGAAUUAUGAUGGAAUUAGCGAAAAUGACCAUAAUUACACGUUUUAAUGAGUUAAAGGACCAAUAGUCAUGAAUUUUUAGUUGAAGGAUCAUUGCCACUUAGAUUAAAGUUGACAGACCAUUGCUACAAUUUCCUCUACAAGAAACGUAAGGGUUUAGUGAUAAAAACCUCUAAACUUGUUGAUUUGCAGGUGAUGCGAUGCAAACUAUGAAAAUAAUGUUAGUGUGAUUAAGUGUAGACCAAUGUCGAAUUUUAUGAAUCUAUCAUUGCUUAUUCGCUUAAAUGACUAAUCUAGAAUUGGUUGCACGUGUGUUUGCUAUGUGGUGCUCUCAUAUGAAGGAGCAUAUUGAAGAAUACAAAAAAUAUCACAUAUGAGGAUUGACAAAAUUAAAUGUAACUUAUAUUGAAUUGUUCCACUUUUAACACCUCCAAUGCGUUUGUUGACACACCCCGAUCCUAGAAUCAAGGCGUGCUGGCCGUCACGUGAGCGUGACGUAACCAUAAGUACGAUGCGGGAGCAAAAGAUACGAGAAUUUUGAAGAAGUAAAAACCAACAACUAGCAAAUAUAACCCAAUAGCAUGCUAGAGUGAGUUAAAGUGUGAACACACACAUAAAUAGAGCUUAAGCAACUAGGUGCAGUCAAGUAGGACCAAACUAAAUUACAACACCCGCAGGUGAGUUCUACAUGCAGGAAGUCUGUCAGAACGCCGAAGAAAACCUCGUGAGCCACCGACUGCUAACUAGAACCUGGAGGGACGCAAAACAAAAUUGAGUGGGUCAGUAAAACAAAA